Rhincodon typus (whale shark) is the source of this 104-nucleotide small nuclear RNA. The record is from RefSeq and is a predicted model, not a curated record. Lineage: Eukaryota; Metazoa; Chordata; Chondrichthyes; Orectolobiformes; Rhincodontidae.
AUUGUAUAAAUAAAGGAUAUACUAAAAUUGGAAUGAUAGAGAGAAGAUUAGCAUGGCCCCUGUGCAAGGAUGACAUGCACAUUUGUGAAAUGUUGCAUAUUUUG